RNAcentral lists this ribosomal RNA (692 nucleotides) under uncultured Bacteroidales bacterium. RNAcentral describes it as "bacterial SSU rRNA". It matches the Rfam family "Bacterial small subunit ribosomal RNA", at positions 62 to 742 of the family's 1533-position model. Lineage: Bacteria; Pseudomonadati; Bacteroidota; Bacteroidia; Bacteroidales. The record is from RNAcentral.
UCGAGGGGCAGCAUUUCAGUUUGCUUGCAAACUGGAGAUGGCGACCGGCGCACGGGUGAGUAACACGUAUCCAACCUGCCGAUAACUCGGGGAUAGCCUUUCGAAAGAAAGAUUAAUACCCGAUGGUAUAAUCAGACCGCAUGGUCUUGUUAUUAAAGAAUUUCGGUUAUCGAUGGGGAUGCGUUCCAUUAGGCAGUUGGUGAGGUAACGGCUCACCAAACCUUCGAUGGAUAGGGGUUCUGAGAGGAAGGUCCCCCACAUUGGAACUGAGACACGGUCCAAACUCCUACGGGAGGCAGCAGUGAGGAAUAUUGGUCAAUGGGCGCAGGCCUGAACCAGCCAAGUAGCGUGAAGGAUGACUGCCCUAUGGGUUGUAAACUUCUUUUAUAUGGGAAUAAAGUUUUCCACGUGUGGAAUUUUGUAUGUACCAUAUGAAUAAGGAUCGGCUAACUCCGUGCCAGCAGCCGCGGUAAUACGGAGGAUCCGAGCGUUAUCCGGAUUUAUUGGGUUUAAAGGGAGCGUAGGUGGACAGUUAAGUCAGUUGUGAAAGUUUGCGGCUCAACCGUAAAAUUGCAGUUGAUACUGGCUGUCUUGAGUACAGUAGAGGUGGGCGGAAUUCGUGGUGUAGCGGUGAAAUGCUUAGAUAUCACGAAGAACUCCGAUUGCGAAGGCAGCUCACUGGACUGCAACUG